UACGAAGGGGGCUAGCGUUGCUCGGAAUCACUGGGCGUAAAGGGUGCGUAGGCGGGUCUUUAAGUCAGGGGUGAAAGCCCGGGGCUCAACUCCGGAAUUGCCUUAAGACUGCAUCGCUAGAAUUGUGGAGAGGUGAGUGGAAUUCCGAGUGUAGAGGUGAAAUUCGUAGAUAUUCGGAAGAAACACCAGUGGCGAAGGCGGACUCACUGGAC
Molecule: ribosomal RNA, 212 nt
Filed under: uncultured bacterium
Lineage: Bacteria
Description: partial 16S ribosomal RNA
Rfam family: Bacterial small subunit ribosomal RNA
Source: RNAcentral